Molecule: long non-coding RNA, 588 nt
Organism: Mus musculus (house mouse)
Lineage: Eukaryota; Metazoa; Chordata; Mammalia; Rodentia; Muridae
Product: predicted gene, 33708
Exons: 3
Source: RefSeq, a predicted model, not a curated record
GGAGGAAGAGGAGGAAGAGGAAGAGGAGGAGGAGGUGAUGUGGGAUCACUGACGUGACACACAGGAAAGAACUUCUUGCCUGUAGGCAUAGUUGCAUGUCAACAAAGUAGCAGGCUGUAGAAUAAAACCAGCACGGGAGAACAAGUGUGAGUUAUCUGAUUCCUUUCUUCAAGGCCAGCGAACCCGAAGAAACACUGCCUGGUUUCUGUGACUCUCAUCUCUGGCGUGUAAACAAAGCUGGAUGCCUGUAGGCAAAGAGAGGCUCACUCCCACGUGGAGAUAUCCUGUGCUAGGAUGCCUCCAUGUCCAGUCAUCCUCUACCUUUAUCCAGCUCGCUAUCUGAAGAGCUGACCUGAGGCCUGUACAAGGGCCCUUGCCCCAGAGCUUGAAGCACUCUCUGCAUCCCAGGGAACGGAAGGGUAGCAAGGCAGUCACUGACCAGCCCAAGAUGGACAUGCAAAGCCUGAUGCUGGAUUACUGUGGCACAGUUUCUCUUGGGUUCAGACAGGAUUUGCUGUGCAAAUGAUGAGGCUACCCUCCAUCUCCCAAUCCUCCUGCUUCAACCUUCCUCUAGGCUGGGAUUGCAGG